AUAUGGUCAAGCGAAUAAGGGUCUACGGUGGAUGCCUUGGAGCUGUAUGAUGAAGAAGGUCGUGGUAAGCUGCGAAAAGCCGCGUUUAGGAGCAAACAUCCAUUAACACGCGGAUAACCGAAUGGGGUAACCCGUCAUAUUAGAUUAUAUGUCAUGUUAUGGUGAAUAAAAUAGCCAUAAGAGGAAACACCCGGGGAACUGAACCAUCUAAGUACCCGGAGGAAAAGAAAUCAAUUGAGAUUCCCCUAGUAGCGGCGAGCGAACGGGGAAGAGCCUAAACCGGUAAUGUGUGAUAUGCCUGUGCAGUUGCAUUACCGGGGUUGUAGGGCUCUUUGAGGGGCAGGCAGGCUGCCCCGCGUAGUUGGGAAAAAACUUAUUCUUAGAAGAACGGUACUGGGAAGGCCGGCCAGAGAAGGUGAAAGCCCUGUAAUUGAAAAGAAUAAGACUACGUAAAAGAGUACCUGAGUAGGGCGGGACACGAGAAAUCCUGCUUGAAUCCGGGAGGACCACCUUCCAAGGCUAAAUACAAGACAGCUACCGAUAGCGCAUAGUACCGUGAGGGAAAGGUGAAAAGAACCCCGGAAGGGGAGUGAAAUAGAAUCUGAAACCGUAGACUUACAAACGGUCAAAGCCGUGAUUUAUCACGGUGAUGGCGUGCCUUUUGUAGAAUGAGCCUGCGAGUUACUGUAUAUUGCAAGGUUAAGGGAUAGAAGUCCCGGAGCCGUAGGGAAACCGAGUCUUAAUUAGGGCGACAUGAGUAGUAUGCAGUAGACCCGAAGCCAAGUGAUCUAUCCAUGCCCAGGUUGAAGCUCUGGUAACACAGAGUGGAGGACCGAACCCUAGUCUGUUUAAAAAGGCAGGGAUGAGGUGUGGAUCGGAGUGAAAGGCUAAUCAAACUUGGAAAUAGCUGGUUCUCCCCGAAAUAGCUUUAGGGCUAGCCUCAUAUUUAAAUGUAACGGAGGUAGAGCACUGAAUGAGCUAGGGCCCUUCACCGGGUACCAAACUCAACCAAACUCCGAAUGCUGUUACAGGAUGUAUGGGAGUCAGACUACGGGUGAUAACAUUCGUGGUCAAAAAGGAAACAACCCAGACCGACGGCUAAGGUCUCAAAUCUAUGCUAAGUGGAAAAGGAAGUGUAAUUGCGAAGACAGCCAGGAGGUUGGCUUAGAAGCAGCCAUACCUUAAAAGAGUGCGUAAUAGCUCACUGGUCGAGUAGUAAUGCGCCGAUAAUGUAACGGGGCUAAGCAUAGAACCGAAGCCACGGGCUUGCUCGAAAGAGUAAGCGGUAGGGGAGCAUUGUGGAUGUCGAAGAAGGUGUAUCGCGAGGUAUGCUGGAGAUAACACAAGAGAGGAUGCAGGCAUGAGUAACGAAAAGAGGGGUGAGAUCCCCCUCCGCCGAAAGCCUAAGGAUUCCAGGGUUAAGGUAAUCUUCCCAAGGGUUAGUCGGCCCCUAAGGCGAGGCUGAAAAGCGUAGUCGAUGGGAAACGGGUUAAUAUUCCCGUACCUCUUUUACUUUCGAAGGGAUGACGCAUAAGGUGAAGCCCGGCCGGAGAAUGGUAGUUCCGGUCUAAGCAGUAAGCCGUUGAAGGAUGCAGGAAAAUCCGCAUCUUGAGGUAAGCUGUUAUGGCGAGAGAGUCUAAGGACAAUUGAAGCGGGUGUAGUCAUAGUGCCAGGAAAUAAUCUCUAAGGACAGGGUAAAAGGGACCGUACCGUAAACCGACACAGGUAGGCGGGCUGAGAAUGCUAAGGCGCUCGGGAGAACUCGCGUUAAGGAACUCGGCAAAAUACACACGUAACUUCGGGAGAAGUGUGGCCUUUUUUGGAGAUCAAAAUUUAGAAGAGGUUGCAGAGAAUAGGUCCAGGCGACUGUUUACCAAAAACACAGGUCUGUGCGAAAUUGCAAAAUGACGUAUACGGACUGACACCUGCCCGGUGCCGGAAGGUUAAGAGGAGGGGUUAGCACUUAGGUGCGAAGCUCUGAAUUGAAGCCCCGGUAAACGGCGGCCGUAACUAUAACGGUCCUAAGGUAGCGAAAUUCCUUGUCGGGUAAGUUCCGACCCGCACGAAUGGUGUAACGAUCUGGACGCUGUCUCAACGCGAGACCCGGUGAAAUUGGAGUACCGGUGAAGAUACCGGUUACUCGUGGUUAGACGGAAAGACCCCGUGAACCUUUACUGUAGCUUGGCACUGAAACUUGUCCUGAUAUGUGUAGGAUAGGUGGGAAACUAUGAAGCUUGUACGCUAGUAUGAGUGGAGUUGACGGUGAAAUACCACCCUUAUCAGGUUAGGUUUCUAACGGAUGCCCUUAUCGGGUAUCUGGACAAUGUCAGGUGGGCGGUUUGACUGGGGCGGUCGCCUCCUAAAGAGUAACGGAGGCGCGCGAAGGUUGCCUUGCGGUGGUUGGAAAUCAUCGUGUAAGUGUAAAGGCAUAAGGCAGCCUGACUGCGAGACAAACAAGUCGAGCAGGUACGAAAGUAGGUCUUAGUGAUCCGGCGGUUCCGCGUGGAAGGGCCGUCGCUUAACGGACAAAAGGUACUCCGGGGAUAACAGGCUGAUUUUGCCCAAGAGUUCAUAUCGACGGCAAAGUUUGGCACCUCGAUGUCGGCUCAUCGCAUCCUGGGGCUGGAGCAGGUCCCAAGGGUUUGGCUGUUCGCCAAUUAAAGCGGUACGUGAGCUGGGUUCAGAACGUCGCGAGACAGUUCGGUCCCUAUCUGCCACGAGCGUUGGAUGUUUGAGAGGAGCUGCUUUUAGUACGAGAGGACCGAAGCGGACGAACCUCUGGUGUACCAGUUAUCCUGCCAAGGGUAAGUGCUGGGUAGCUAUGUUCGGACGGGAUAACCGCUGAAAGCAUCUAAGCGGGAAGCCCCCCUCAAGAUGAGACAUCCCUUCACCUUUAAGGUGACUUAAGACACCAGGAAGAAUACCUGGUUGAUAGGCCGGGAGUGUAAGUGCAGUAAUGUAUUCCAGCUUACCGGUACUAAUCAGUCGUGAGGCUUGACCAUAU
RNAcentral lists this ribosomal RNA (3004 nucleotides) under Spirochaetales bacterium. RNAcentral describes it as "23S ribosomal RNA". It matches the Rfam family "Bacterial large subunit ribosomal RNA". The record is from RNAcentral. Lineage: Bacteria; Pseudomonadati; Spirochaetota; Spirochaetia; Spirochaetales.